UCUAGAAAGAUCACUUGUAACCUGACCCACGAGCCCUGGAAAUCUCCUUUAAAGAGAGGCUGUCUGAGCAGGGAGGUUGGGACCCCUGACUGUGAGCCUCGUGUGUUCAGAAAAGUGGGCAGUGGUGGCACGGGAGCAGGCUAGGCGGGGUACAUCAGGCGGGCUCCGUGCCCAGCAGUAGCGCACUUGGUUCAGCCUGUCUGUCCUUCAUGUUCUGGCCCCCACAUACCACAGUGUUCACCCCAGUUAGCGUGGCUGCAUUCCAGCGGCACGCUGCUAGUGAGCCAGCUGCUAGUGAGGCUGCUGGGGAUGCUGCACAGGGCAGGGCACAUACAAGGGUCCUUGCCCCGUCUGCCUUUGGCAGAGGGACUUCCUCAGCAUGGCUGUUUUGAAAAACAGGUGCAAAAUGUGCCUGUCUGUACAUGACCCCACACCGAGUCCUGAGCCUCCGGGUAGCUGCUUGUGAAUUCACUGCUCUCCCCUCACAGUCUCCACUUGCCUGUUGAGUCCGUUGAUGCCCUGCCACGUUACUGUGCUAACUGGAUUAAUUCACAGACAUCGGUUACUGGGAAUUUCACUUAAUCACAUAUAAAAAUAACAGUAGCCAGAUCUGCCUGUCCAGUUGUUAAAAAAAAAAAACCUCAAGUUUUUAAAAAAGUGCUUCCCUGCAAAAGUCUAGCCUGCAAGGGGCAUGAAAUGGGUUGCCAGGGCUCAGUCUCUGAAGCGCCUGGGGGCAGGCAGGGGUCCGCGGGCACUGGGAAGGCCGCCUUCUGUUCCUAGGUCUGCCAAGCCAGAAGCCCAAGGAGCAGCAGCGGAGCGUGCUUCGCCCGGCAGUGUUACAAGCUCCGCAGCCAAAGGCGCUGUCCCAGACUGUCCCCAGCAGUGGCACCAACGGGGUCAGCCUCCCAGCAGACUGCACGGGGGCAGUGCCAGCAGCAUCCCCCGACACUGCUGCACGGCGAAGUCCUGCCGAAGCUGCCGAUGAGGUGUGUGCACUUGAGGAGAAAGAGCCCCAGAAAAAUGAGUCCAGCAAUGCCUCUGGAGAGGAAGCCUGUGAGAAAAAAGACCCCGCCACACAGCAAGCCUUUGUAUUUGGGCAGAACUUGAGGGACAGAGUUAAGCUGAUCAAUGAGAGCAUGGACGAAGCCGACAUGGAGAAUGCCGGACACCCCAGCGCAGACACACCAACCGCAACAAACUAUUUCCUCCAGUAUAUCAGUUCCAGGUGUGUGUCUCAGUCCCAGCGGCCAGCCUGGCAUGGCGAUGCAGGUGGCCGCGAGGGCUUCUGCCAGAGAGGGGUCUGUGGUCCCCGUGCCCGACUCAGGCCCAGAAUCCAGGUUGCACUCAGGCCCCUCUCUGGGCACAACCUUGGGUGGGCCAGGGUGGUGGGCCUUGUCCUGGGAUUCACUGGACGCCUGAGACAGGACCAGAGUUCUGUGGGGUUGUCCAGGGGCCCAUGGAGGCUACAGCCCAGCCCUUGGAUUAUGCCCUCUGUCUUGUGGACCUCAUGCCCAGAGCAGAACAGAGCAGACCAGAGGUGACUCAGGCACCCCCUUAUCCUGGGUUUGGGCACCUGGGGCAAAGAUCUCAUCACGCCCUUGACUGACAUGGCUGGGGGUGAUGCUACCCACGGCCCAGCUGCCCCUCCAGGUGUCUCAGAAGAAAGUGUGUCCCGCCUGGGAGAUGGGCGGGCAGAGCAGGUGGAAGGUGGCUUCCCUCAUGCUGUGGGGCCCCUCCAUGAGGGCGAGCUAAGGGUUAAUGUUUCCAAUGGCACAGGGAGGUGUGUGGCUUCCUGCCUCUGACACGCCAUCCCGUGCACAGUGUGAGAGGCCCCUCCACUGUGCCCUCUGCACCAGUGUGUGCUCCAUGGGUGCCCACACAUUUGCCUGGCCAUGUUCCCAUGUGACGCCCCCACACUCAUUGCACAUCUUCUCUUCAGUUUAGAGAACUCAACCAAUAGUGCCGACGCCUCCAGCAACAAAUUUGUAUUUGGCCAGAACAUGAGCGAGCGAGUUUUGAGCCCCCCAAAAUUAAACGAGGUCAGUUCAGAUGCCAACAGGGAAAAUGCGGCUGCCGAGUCAGGGUCUGAGUCCUCGUCCCAGGAGGCCACCCCUGAGAAAGAGUCCCUGGCCGAGUCGGCAGCCGCCUACACCAAGGCAACAGCGCGGAAGUGUUUGUUGGAAAAAGUGGAAGUCAUCACCGGGGAGGAGGCGGAGAGCAACGUGUUACAGAUGCAGUGCAAGCUGUUUGUCUUCGACAAGACCUCACAGUCCUGGGUGGAGAGAGGCCGGGGGCUGCUCAGACUCAAUGACAUGGCGUCCACCGACGACGGCACACUACAGUCCCGACUAGGUGAGCUGCAGAGGGCGGGGGCUGUGGCCGGGUCCCCAUGGGGAGGGCUGGGGACUGUGCAAUUCCAAAGGGAAUGAAGGGGGGAGAUCCUGACCCUCCCCUUGUGAGAGUCAAGGCACAGAGCCGGUCUCCCAUGAGAGCCGCCCCCCAAACCCCUCCCUGCACACAGCCCUCAACACCACCCUCACACACUGGCUCCAGCUGCCAGCUUGUCCGUGACCCUCUUAGUGUCAAAAUGGACAAAAGUCUAUGGAAGUUUUUAAGCUGAUUUUCUGACAGUGGCAGGUUUAUGAUAGAAAGGAAAA
This 2657-nucleotide small RNA is filed under the name Pongo abelii (Sumatran orangutan). Its description in RNAcentral is "retained intron". Lineage: Eukaryota; Metazoa; Chordata; Mammalia; Primates; Hominidae. The record is from RNAcentral.